This is a small nucleolar RNA of Cephalotus follicularis, 107 nucleotides long. It matches the Rfam family "Plant small nucleolar RNA R71". Rfam says of the family: R71 is a member of the C/D box family of snoRNAs containing the C (UGAUGA) and D (CUGA) box motifs. Lineage: Eukaryota; Viridiplantae; Streptophyta; Magnoliopsida; Oxalidales; Cephalotaceae. The record is from Rfam.
AAACCAUGAUGAGGACACUCUAAGGGGAGGUCUUUGAAACGUUCCAUACAUCUAGAGAAUGAUUCAUUUGGUCUUUGGCGAAACUGAAAAAUGUCGUUCCUAAUCUU